This 51-nucleotide transfer RNA is filed under the name Diplasiolejeunea replicata. RNAcentral describes it as "partial tRNA-Leu". The record is from RNAcentral. Lineage: Eukaryota; Viridiplantae; Streptophyta; Jungermanniopsida; Porellales; Lejeuneaceae.
GACUAAAAUCCGCUGGCAUAGAUCUUGAGGGUUCGAGUCCCUCUACCCCCA